UUCCUCGAACUGACUCCUUCUUGUUAAUAUACAAUUAGGGCCGUCACUCUCCCAGUGAGGGAUCCCCCACUCCCAGCCUCUGCCCCCCCACUCACCUGGACAGUGCGGGGUAAAGGCCCUGGGGAAUGGGCCCAGGAGGCAAGAAGAAUCCCGGGCCAGUGAGCAGCGGGCAUACUCGCCAUGGUCUUCCAGAAGUGAUGUUAUUGUACCUGCUGGGAGUGCGUGUGAGAGAGAAGAUCAUGUAGAUAUGACACCACCAUGAGGACCCUCACACAUCUGCUGGAAUUAUCUUUUGUUACAUCUCUGGCGCUGAGGAGAUACCUAAUGGAAAGGUAGCAGACAUCAAGGACCGAAGACCUGACAAGGAACCAGUCAGCAAAACGCUUGUUUCCAAACUGCAUCAGGGGUCAACAGACCUCCCCACCAAACAUCUCUAGAAUCUACAAUGAAAUGCAUUAAAUCUAAUAAAAUCUUAAAGACUUUU
Long non-coding RNA from Eublepharis macularius, 484 nucleotides. RefSeq lists it as uncharacterized. The transcript has 3 exons. Lineage: Eukaryota; Metazoa; Chordata; Lepidosauria; Squamata; Eublepharidae. The record is from RefSeq and is a predicted model, not a curated record.